Molecule: long non-coding RNA, 1073 nt
Filed under: Equus asinus (donkey)
Lineage: Eukaryota; Metazoa; Chordata; Mammalia; Perissodactyla; Equidae
Description: lncRNA (ENSEASG00005035176.1)
Source: RNAcentral
GCUGGGUGGGCUGGGCCAAUGUGUGACCGGCUAUUAGUCGCUAUCAGCCCGGCUAUCAGUUCCCCUUCAGUGAACCCAGCAGAGAUGGGCUAAAACUAAAGGCACACAUCUCCAGGACCCUGGAUCCUUAGUUACACUCAUUGAAAAAUGCUUGUUUCUUUAAGCUUUGACCCCCUGAGCUUUACGACCAAAUAGAAGUUACAAAUUGUUCAAGUCCAGAUGGCCUCACUCUGGGCUCCCACUAAAGUUGUGGGCGAUCCCAGGACCUUGAAGUCCUUUUACAGAGAAACUAGUGCCCAGACAAUAUCAAGAAACCGAGGCUUCCCAGGCCCAGCUCCUCGGCUCCCUGACGUCAGAGUCCACCUUCCCCCGUGGAGACAAACAGCCAAGGACGCUCAUCUGAGAAACCCUCUUGUUUCCUCUGUCAUCCCCCAGGACUCCAUGAGGGAGAAGUACUUUCCUUGAUGAAUAGGGUGGGAACUUGAGGCCUAGGGAAGAUAAGCACCUGCCCCUCAGCACAGCUAACAAGGGGCACGGCCAGGAUUUGAACCCGGGACUAAGCCUAAACCCCGUGCCCUGUGCCCUUUGCACUGUACCAGAUUCCUCUCAAUCAUGAAGAAAACUUCCUUAUCCUCAGGGCUCAGGAAGCCCUCUUGCACCCGUUGUCUCAUUUGAUCCUCAAAACGGGCAAUUAACAGAUGAAGAACUGAGAUUUGAUGAGGCUAUAAUUCAAGAUCACACAGUUGGGAGGUAGGGUUGCUGGUACUGAAACUCUGGUCUUUAGAUUCCCAGCCCUGAGCUGUUUCUGUUACACUAAUACCCAUUACACCCAAAUCUAGUGAUGGAAAACCACCGUCAUUAUUGAUCAUCACUCCGCAGUUCUGGCGGGAGACUGGGCUCAGCCAGGCGGUUCUUGUUCGGGGUCUCGCACGGCUGCAGUCAGAUGGCGGCCAGGACCAGAGUCACCCUAAGAGGUGCUGGCUCAAACAUCCAGGGCUGGAGCCUCCGGGGCUCCUCACAUGUCUCUCCCUCCAUGUUCUCUCUCCACGAGGUCUCAGUGUCUGACAGCUUCA